AGUGAACGCUGGCGGUAGGCCUAACACAUGCAAGUCGAACGGCAGCACAGUAAGAGCUUGCUCUUACGGGUGGCGAGUGGCGGACGGGUGAGGUAUACAUCGGAAUCUACUUUUUCGUGGGGGAUAACGUAGGGAAACUUACGCUAAUACCGCAUACGACCUACGGGUGAAAGCAGGGGAUCUUCGGACCUUGCGCGAUUGAAUGAGCCGAUGUCGGAUUAGCUAGUUGGCGGGGUAAAGGCCCACCAAGGCGACGAUCCGUAGCUGGUCUGAGAGGAUGAUCAGCGACAGUGGAACUGAGACACGGUCCAGACACCUACGGGAGGCAGCAGUGGGGAAUAUUGGACGAUGGGCGCAAGCCUGAUCCAGCCAUACCGCGUGGGUGAAGAAGGCCUUCGGGUUGUAAAGCGCUUUUGUUGGGAAAGAAAAGCAGCAGGUUAAUACACGGCUGUUCUGACGGUACCCAAAGAAUAAGCACCGGCUAACUUCGUG
Molecule: ribosomal RNA, 492 nt
Filed under: uncultured bacterium
Lineage: Bacteria
Description: partial 16S ribosomal RNA
Rfam family: Bacterial small subunit ribosomal RNA
Source: RNAcentral